UCUGGUUGGAACCGGUUCCCGCCUUGUGGCCAGUCGGUGAGAGCGCGCUGUUCGGCAGAAGGUGAUCGAUCCUCCGUCCCGCCGAGCCCGCCAGCCGCCACCCGCCGCCAGCAGCCGAAAUGCCCCGCAAGGCGCCUGACGCUCCAAAGCCUGAAGAACUGAGGAGAUCAGCGCGAAAACGGCGAACUGUCAUGACAACUGCUCCAGCCAAGAAGGCACCAGCGAAGAAAGAUGCUGGGAAAGCUAAGAAACCAAAGGUCGUCAAAGGCAAAGCAAGUGACUCAAACCAGGAACCAAGCACUGCUCCUGCCCAAAAUGGAGAAAACAAGGAGGCUUGAGGAGCAAAGUUGCUGAUAGGCGAUGGUAUCAACAGCAUCUGGAAGGCUUAUCAAUUUCCUGCAACGUGUGCAGUUGAAAGGAAUAUUUUUAUCAGUUUUUAUAAAGGCAACUUUUUUUUUUACUUUUGAGUGAGCAAAUGUGGGUGCUUGCAUUGUUUUAUUUUGGAGAUUUUGUAUACAGAUUGCAUGUUGAAUUGCUUGAUAUUAAACUCCUUUUUGCUCCCACUCAAACCCCCCAAUUUUGACCAUUUUCUAUCUCUUCCAUCAGAUGAAGUUAUGUUUGCAAUGUCUAUUCAUGUUAAUGGCAGUUCCUGACCCCUGUGUGAAAUCAUUAUUUUCAGAUUUGGCAAUUUAAAAUUUAAAAACACUUUUUUUUAUAAUUACUGUUUGAAAAUGGAAAUAGUAGAAUCUCUUUUGGCUCAAAUGGAAUUUUUAAUUCCACGGAGUUUUAAAUUUGCUACUUAAAUAAAGUUGGAUAUUGUUUUGCUUGU
Long non-coding RNA from Mobula hypostoma (lesser devil ray), 829 nucleotides. RefSeq lists it as uncharacterized. The transcript has 6 exons. Lineage: Eukaryota; Metazoa; Chordata; Chondrichthyes; Myliobatiformes; Myliobatidae. The record is from RefSeq and is a predicted model, not a curated record.